CAGCACCUCAAGUGGUCAGGAUGAUUAUUGGGCCUAAAGCAUCCGUAGCCGGCUCUGUAAGUUUUCGGUUAAAUCUGUACGCUCAACGUACAGGCUGCCGGGAAUACUGCAGAGCUAGGGAGUGGGAGAGGUAGACGGUACUCGGUAGGAAGGGGUAAAAUCCUUUGAUCUAUUGAUGACCACCUGUGGCGAAGGCGGUCUACCAGAACACGUCCGACGGUGAGGGAUGAAAGCUGGGGGAGCAAACCGGAUUAGAUACACGAGUAGUCC
This 270-nucleotide ribosomal RNA is filed under the name uncultured archaeon. RNAcentral describes it as "partial 16S ribosomal RNA". It matches the Rfam family "Archaeal small subunit ribosomal RNA", at positions 477 to 747 of the family's 1478-position model. The record is from RNAcentral.